UGCGUAGGCGGAAUGAUAAGUUAGUGGUGAAAGCCCCCGGCUCAACCGGGGAACUGCCAUUAAUACUGUCAUUCUUGAGUAUAGUUGAAGUGGGCGGAAUGUAUCAUGUAGCGGUGAAAUGCUUAGAUAUGAUACAGAACACCGAUAGCGUAGGCAGCUUGCUAAACUAUAACUGACGCUCAGGCACGAAAGCGUGGGGAGCAAACAGGAUCAGAUACCCUGGUAGUCC
RNAcentral lists this ribosomal RNA (229 nucleotides) under uncultured bacterium. RNAcentral describes it as "partial 16S ribosomal RNA". It matches the Rfam family "Bacterial small subunit ribosomal RNA", at positions 568 to 796 of the family's 1533-position model. The record is from RNAcentral.